AAUGAACGCUGGUGGCAGACCUAACACAUGCAAGUCGAACGAUUUAUAAAAACUUCGGUUUUUAUAAAGAGUGGCAAACGGGGUGAGUAAUGCAUGGGAGUACUACCUAGAAGUUUAGGGUAGUAACUAUUAGUAAAUAAGUAGCUAAUAACCGAACUACACCCCGACGGGGGAAAAGGUUAGUACUUUUAGUUCUUCGUCUUUUAGUAUGAGCCCACUGUUAAAUUAAGUUAGUUGGUGGGAUAACAGCCUACCAAGACGAUGAUUAUAGCUGGUCUUAGAGGAUGAUCAGCCACACUGGAAUUGAGAUACGGUUCAGACUCCUACGGGAGGCAGCAGUGGGGGAAUAUUGGACAAUGGCGCAAGCCUGAUCCAGUCAUGCCACGUGAGUGAU
Molecule: ribosomal RNA, 394 nt
Filed under: uncultured bacterium
Lineage: Bacteria
Description: bacterial SSU rRNA
Rfam family: Bacterial small subunit ribosomal RNA
Source: RNAcentral